This 426-nucleotide ribosomal RNA is filed under the name uncultured bacterium. RNAcentral's name for it is "bacterial SSU rRNA". It matches the Rfam family "Bacterial small subunit ribosomal RNA", at positions 506 to 930 of the family's 1533-position model. The record is from RNAcentral.
GGCCAGCAGCCGCGGUAAAACGUAGGAGGCGAGCGUUAUCCGGAUUUACUGGGUGUAAAGCGCGUGCAGGCGGCUUGGUAAGUGGUGUGUGAAAGCGCCCGGCUUAACCGGGCGAGGCCGCACCAGACUGCGAAGCUGGAGGGAGGUAGAGGCGUGUGGAAUUCCGGGUGUAGUGGUGAAAUGCGUAGAGAUCCGGAGGAACACCAGAGGCGAAGGCGACACGCUGGGCCAACCCUGACGCUAAGACGCGAAAGCAUGGGGAGCGAACGGGAUUAGAAACCCCGGUAGUCCAUGCCGUAAACGAUGCUGACCAGGUGUGGCGGGGGUAACAGCCUGCCGUGCCGAAGCCAACGCGAUAAGUCAGCCACCUGGGGACUACGGCCGCAAGGUUAAAACUCAAAGGAAUUGACGGGGGCCCGCACAAGU